Molecule: non-coding RNA, 833 nt
Organism: Dermacentor andersoni
Lineage: Eukaryota; Metazoa; Arthropoda; Arachnida; Ixodida; Ixodidae
Source: RefSeq, a predicted model, not a curated record
CUAUUUCGAACAUUAAGAUGGAAUGAUCGCUCAAACCUGGCAGUAAAGCUAUAGAGGAAGCAAGAUUGGGAUAAGUGUAUACCCACUCCUAUAAUUCCCAGGAGCCCAUGGAAAAGGGAAGUGUCUAAUACUGAACUAAGAAAUUGUUCCUGCACAAACAGGUAAGUUGUAACCACUAACUCACAUACUGAAAUAAACUGCAAAACACCAAGAAAAUUCAGCAUCAACUUACAUGGAUAGGAGAUUACAUGUUACUGCAAAUUAUGAGUCUAAGCACAAGACAAAAAUGCAUUCGAUGUAGUAUUGUUUCUUGAUUGAGAUAUACUUGAUGCAAUGACAGUUGGAACACCGAUAAAUCAAACAGCACAUUUUUUUGCUAGCGCUUCACAUUGUAAUCUGCUGAAAAAUGAAGUGAACCAGCUGCUUGCAGUAUUGAAAGUGAUCUGUUGGUGGGAUCCUUUACCUUGUAAGAGUUCCACAUAGAAGCUGUGUCUUGCAUCAGAUGUCCAGGUUUAUAGUGAUAAGAUCCUGCAUGAAGAGCUACUUUGAUAUGCCCUUUGCUAGGAAACACAUAAAUGGCUCUAAUAACACUAACUUUUGACAGAUACUUCGCCUUUUGUCGCACAAUUCAUAGGAAUGCUCCUUGUAGAAAAACACUCACGGCAAUAAUUUAUUUGACAAUUUUGCACAACCGUGACAUCAACUUGGUCAUGACAGUGAGUGGUUCGAUGUUUGGUCUAAAAAGCAUACAUUUCGUCCAAUAAACUGGCAACAAAGUCCCAGCCAUUCUGUGCUUCAUGCAAAAGAACGAAAAUUCUUGCCAACACAAAACU